This 322-nucleotide ribosomal RNA is filed under the name uncultured eukaryote. RNAcentral describes it as "partial 18S ribosomal RNA". It matches the Rfam family "Eukaryotic small subunit ribosomal RNA", at positions 1470 to 1796 of the family's 1831-position model. The record is from RNAcentral.
CCCUUAGAUGUUCUGGGCCGCACGCGUGCUACACUGAGUGGAUCAGCGGGUCAGGUUGCGCGAAAGCGUUUCCUAAUCUUGAAAUCCGCUCGUGAUGGGGAUUGACGGUUGCAAUUUUCUGUCAUGAACGAGGAAUACCUUGUAAGCGCGAGUCAUCAUCCCGCGCUGAAUACGUCCCUGCCCUUUGUACACACCGCCCGUCGCUCCUACCGAUUGAGUGGUCCGGUGAGGCUUUGGGAUCUGAGCGGAAAGAGCGUUUCGCUCGUUCUGCCCGGAAAACUCAGUCGAACCUUAUCAUUUAGAGGAAGGUGAAGUCGUAACA